AAGAUGGCGGGAGGGUGCGGCCAAGAGGCUGCUGGGAUUGUGGCGGACCCAGCGGCAAAAUGGCGGCCGUGCGGCCAGGGAGAGGCUCCUUCAAGGUGGUAUCCUGCUGCUGCUGCUUCCCAAGGCCUGACAAGCACAGUCCUACAGGGCUCCACCACAUUAAGUUGCAGACUGACACAGUCAGCUUUCAGCCUUUUUGUGCCUUUCAUGGUCCCUACCCCCAUUUUUUUUCCUAAAUCUGACUAGUAACUUGUAAGAGGGAGUGUUCCAUGGUGUACUGGCUGUCACCCACCAGCUCAGGCCAGGCACUUUAAGAGGAUGGCCACUUGUCUACCACCAACCAAACCAACAUGGCAGGAGGCAAAACCCCCUUACUUUGAAUAACCACGUGAUAUAUUUUCUCUAAAGAAAAUUGCAAGGAUCCUAUGUAACCUGUGACAUGAAUCACUCCCUCUGUCCUGCCUCAUCUGCUGGGGACUGGGGUGCUUAGGCCAUGCCCUGCCAGGGUGGGGAGGGGGCCCAGCAUCACUCUUGUGACCAGCAGGUGCCCUCAGGUGAGCACUCCAGGAGCCCAUGUAGCAGUACAAGCCCCAAGCAGGCAGGAGCCAGUGGCCGGGUUCCAUGUCCAUCUGUUGGUGCCCUUCUGUCGGAAUUUACCCAGCUGCUGAUUUGCAGCUAUGAGUGGCAAAAUGCCACCUGGGUAGGUACAUCUCAUUGGUGAGCUUGAGGAUCCUUGAUUACUUACCAGCUCUCGUCAGUUCCUCUUCAGAUGCUGUUCCACCUCAGUGGGCUGUACUAUGCUCUGUACUUCCUAGCCACACUCCUGAUG
RNAcentral lists this long non-coding RNA (829 nucleotides) under Rattus norvegicus (Norway rat). RNAcentral describes it as "long non-coding RNA NONRATT001351". Lineage: Eukaryota; Metazoa; Chordata; Mammalia; Rodentia; Muridae. The record is from RNAcentral.